AGAGAAAGUAAGACGACUGAAUUAUGGGGUUUUUAAGCAUGCGUUUUGCUAAUGCUGUCAUUAUUUUAUUAUCGAUUAGAGUCUCGUAGCUCAGCCGGUUAGAGCGCUACACUGAUAAUGUAGAGGUCGGCAGUUCGAGUCUGCCCGAGACUACAACGAUAAUGGGAAUUUAUAGUUGAGAGUUCUACAUUUUAGAUUCUUUUCAGAUUCAGAAUGGGGAAUUAGCUCAGCUGGCUAGAGCACUUGAUUUGCAUUCAAGAGGUCGUGGGUUCGACUCCCACAUUCUCCACAAGUUUUUAACUUAAACGAUCAUUGACAUAUUGAAAAAUUUUUAUAUCACAAGCACCAGUUAUCCAAUUUGUGUUUGUGAUUAUAGAUACACUACAAGGUAUAAAUUGGUUUUUAACCAAUUUGGUACGAGCAUAAUAAUAAUAAAUACAAUUUCAAAAGAAAAGUAAAGUUAC
RNAcentral lists this unclassified non-coding RNA (464 nucleotides) under uncultured Flavobacteriaceae bacterium. Its description in RNAcentral is "16S-23S ribosomal RNA intergenic spacer". The stretch from base 80 to 153 matches the Rfam family "tRNA". Lineage: Bacteria; Pseudomonadati; Bacteroidota; Flavobacteriia; Flavobacteriales; Flavobacteriaceae. The record is from RNAcentral.